AUUAAUAUUAAAGAUGAGUGAGUUAGAGGCGACAAAUGCUUAAUUUUCCUCAUACACAUACUGAAACACCAAGCUGGUAUAUUAAGAUUUAUCCACUCUGGAGACCAAUUCCAAAAAGCUCUGUUUUUGGGUGGAGUUUCAGUUGCUGUGGCACCUAGAUUUGCAGUGGGGUGGUGUGGUGGGAACUUGAGUGAGGACACCUCAACCCAGUCUCCUAGAAAUGAUGUGUGUAUACUACUAAUUUGUUGCGUGGAUUAUGUGUUACUGGAGGUGGAAGUUGUAGGAGGUGGUUUGGGUGGACAGUGGGUGUACAAAGGGCAGGACUUUGACACCAGAGACCAGGGUUUGCAUCAUGAGUCCUGUGUAUGAUUAGGUAUAGGCAACAGCAGCACUUUGGUUAAUGGGGCUGUAAGCAAUAUCAGCAUUUAUGCUAACUUCCUGUCUGUUCUUGCAGACUAGCACUCCCCUCCCUCCUCCCCAUGUUUCCAACAGUAUUAGGCACAGCAGCAAUGGAAAGCAGUGGGUCAUCUACCUCUGAAUACAAUUGUCACAGUCUGUCUUGUUCUUUCCCCGUCACUCUGCACUCCCUCACCUGAUUAUUGAUUCCCAGCACCUGUCACCCAUAGCACACCUGCACAUAAUCAGCCACUCUACUCCCUAUAUAACACAGCUCCUCACCUCAGUCAGUGUCUGGUCUCGUUCAUGGUAGAGGACAGAACGCUAGUUCACCUAUCUCCUAGAACAAUUUGGACUCCCUUCGCCGAAACCUACCCAUUCUCUGCUACUGCUAUUCAGUACCUCUUCCCUGGCUCCUUCGUGUUCCUGUCAUCUGUGUGGUUCACUUCAGCUCCAGUCUCAGUGUAUCUCCAGUCUUCCGUGUGUGAUCACUCCAGCUCCAGUCCCCGUUGAGCUCCCGUCUCCCUUCACAUCAGGCAGACCAACCAAGAGGACGAGGUCGGGGAGGAGGAAGAGCUGCGGGCCGGGCAGAGGAGGACCAGGACACAGUCGUGGUAGAAAGAUAGGCAGAGGCGCCUUUGGUCUGUCUGAGGAAGACGCACUAUGUGUGCAAGGCAACCGGGUUGUGAUCCCCAUUUGCUGCAUCUUGAAGAUUCAGGAGCGUAUUCCAGAUCCUCACGGCUGAUACGUAGGCUUUCGCCCAAAUAGGGUGUAGGCCUAACUGACACUACACUACUGACUGACACUACAGUCACUAUACACUUCUGUUAUAUUGUAAUUGUGUAUAUUGUAAUAUUUCAAAAUGUAUAUAGCUUUAAUAAUAAAAAACUUUUCACAUUCACCCGA
Long non-coding RNA from Siniperca chuatsi (mandarin fish), 1302 nucleotides. RefSeq lists it as uncharacterized. Lineage: Eukaryota; Metazoa; Chordata; Actinopteri; Centrarchiformes; Sinipercidae. The record is from RefSeq and is a predicted model, not a curated record. The transcript is spliced from 2 exons.